GCGGAGGAAAAGAAACCAACAGGGAUUGCCCCAGUACGGCGAGUGAAGCGGCAACAGCUCAAAUUUGAAAUCUGGCGCCCCCCCGCGGGCGCCCGAGUUGUAAUUUGCAGAGGAUGCUUUUGGCGAGGCGCCUUCCGAGUGCCCUGGAACGGGACGCCACAGAGGGUGAGAGCCCCGUCUGGUCGGCCGCCGAGCCUCUGUAAAGCUCCUUCGACGAGUCGAGUAGUUUGGGAAUGCUGCUCUAAUCGGGAGGUAUAUGUCUUCUAAAGCUAAAUACCGGCCAGAGACCGAUAGCGCACAAGUAGAGUGAUCGAAAGAUGAAAAGCACCUUGAAAAGAGGGUUAAACAGUACGUGAAAUUGUUGAAAGGGAAGCGCUCAUGACCAGACUUGGGCCCUGCGGAUCAGCCGGCGGUCCUCCGCCGGCGCACUCCGCCGGGCGCAGGCCAGCAUCAGCUCGCGCCGGGGGACAAAGGCGGCGGGAACGUGGCUCCCCCAGGGGAGUGUUAUAGCCCGCCGCGCAAUGCCCCGGGGGCGGACUGAGGCCCGCGCGCUCCUGCGCAUGGAUGCUGGCGUAAUGGUCAUUAACGACCCGUCUUG
Molecule: ribosomal RNA, 598 nt
Filed under: Moelleriella turbinata
Lineage: Eukaryota; Fungi; Ascomycota; Sordariomycetes; Hypocreales; Clavicipitaceae
Description: LSU rRNA
Rfam family: Eukaryotic large subunit ribosomal RNA
Source: RNAcentral